ACACUCGGGCAAAAAUAAAGUUAAAAAGAAAACAACCGAUUGUGAAGCUUCUGUGUCCUCUAUUUGAGGAAUUGAGAUAUUUCUGGGUGCACCUCCAUAGCCUACGACCCCUUCGAUUUCUGAUCCGACUUCUCAGCUGUUCAAAAUCCAAAUCCACUGAAAGAAGCUAUUUGAUUUAAGCAUGCGGUAUUCGAUUUCUGAUCCGACUUCUCAUAUUAUGAAGCGCUACCACUGUUCGUCCAAAGAAGCCUUACAAAGCUCUACUCAUGCAUAUUUUCGGUAAAUGUAUUUGAAAGCAUUCUAAUAUAUAUAAUCAUUGAACUGGUUUUUUUUUUUUUAUAAAACACUCGGGCAAAAAUAAAGUUAAAAAGAAAACAACCGAUUGUGAAGCUUCUGUGUCCUCUAUUUGAGGAAUUGAGAUAUUUCUGGGUGCACCUCCAUAGCCUACGACCCCUUCGAUUUCUGAUCCGACUUCUCAGCUGUUCAAAAUUCAAAUCCACUGAAAGAAGCUAUUUGAUUUAAGCAUGCGGUAUUCGAUUUCUGAUCCGACUUCUCAUAUUAUGAAGCGCUACCACUGUUCGUCCAAAGAAGCCUUACAAAGCUCUACUCAUGCAUAUUUUCGAUGGGAAUGCUGCUGAGGAUGCAGUGCCAAAGCAACCAUUACUGACUUACUGUUGUUAUGUUCUGAGAAUGCUUUGUAUUUAUAUUCCUUCACUCACAUCAUACAGGUUAUUAUUAGUCUUCUAAUUCAGUUUCUAAAGUAAAACUUAGAUUUCAUGAUGUGUUGUCCUUGUUUUUUUGGUCUUUAGGGAGUUAAGAAAGUCAUAUGCAAGAAAAAGUUUCAAUCUUCUUGUUGUUGGGCCUCAACAUUCUAUAGUUCCACUGAUGUUGGCCUUAUAACCCUUUUCACCAAUGGAAAAAUUGAGAUAAGGUAAUAGUAAAUUUUAAAGAAAUAUUACUGAGACAAGUGUAUAAUAUGCCUAAACAUAUGUGGGUUCUGGUUUUAUUUUCAUCUUCUCUUUAACUGGACCAAGGAAAAAAAAAAUAUAACAAUAAAGAUAGAAGAAGAAGAAGUCCGAUAAAUGUCUUUCAAUUCAGUUUGUUAUCGCUCUAACUCUCUGAUUUUCAGUGUACUACUGCUAUAUUUUGGUCUCUUUGGCCAGUGUUUUUCUUCUGGUGAACAGGUUUCGUUCAACACAUUUACUGUUUCCACUUUCCAGCUUCAGUUACCCUUCAACCACUCUCAAGUCCUUUGAAUUGCGUUAUAUAAGAGGUUGUACUUGUAGAAACUGAUUGUCGUUUGGGAAACCUUAAUAUAUUUUUAUCACUCUAUUUGUGCGUGAAUUGUCUCCUGGGAAUCAUGUUAACCUUUAGGUUCUCAUUUGUCUUAUUUCACAUAACAUAAAGGUAUUAGUUAAGAAAAAUGCAAUGUUAAUUGGCAUAGUUGUUGAAAUCACAGGUGAAGGAAAAACUUUCCAUGCUGUCAAUUUCUUAGGACAUGAAGCAAAAAUUGGUGAAUGAAAUUGUCAAGGAGUAUUGCCUCACACCAGAUAUUUUAGCACAUGAUUACUAUUAUGAAUGGGUAAAACUGAAGAUGAAGCUAACAAGUAGUGAAGACCAAGCAUUGACUACAGAUGUUCCAACUUCUUAUCAUGGCAUAUCUGAAGAAAGAUCAGAAUUGCAUACUUCAAAGCCUUUGCAAGAUCUAAGUUUAUCUGCUUCUGCUGUUACUUCAGAACCAAAGGUGUUGCCAACCAUUUCAAAGUCUCAAGGAGAGAAAGAAGAUAUUUCUUGUGGAGAUCUAAGUUUAUCUGCUUUCGUUAUCCUUUUUUGUCGUUUGGGAAACCUUAAUAUAUUUUUAUCACUCUGUUUAUGCGAGAUUGUUGUUUUAAGAAUUUUGUUGUUGUCCUUUUUUUGGUUCAUUGUCAAAUUGACACGUGUCCCCUUGCAGGCCAUUCUUCUCGCUAAUAGUUUUGCUACCACUUUCAGACCUAUCACCCUUGAACGCCCCAAGGGCUAUAUGGGGCUGGGACGAUUCAUAUACUUUUAUUGGUAACAUGAACAAAGGAGUGGAUGUCAUCUCACUUUCAGAAGGAAAAACUAUUGUGAUAUUACAGUGAACACAUGAAAGCAAUUCCAUGCAAAUUUAAUAACUAUUAUGUUUAUUAUAUUUCAACAAUUCAAUUGAUAAGCUUACAUUUCUUUUAA
Molecule: RNA transcript, 2208 nt
Organism: Cannabis sativa
Lineage: Eukaryota; Viridiplantae; Streptophyta; Magnoliopsida; Rosales; Cannabaceae
Exons: 5
Source: RefSeq, a predicted model, not a curated record